Xenia sp. Carnegie-2017 is the source of this 87-nucleotide long non-coding RNA. RefSeq lists it as uncharacterized. The transcript has 3 exons. The record is from RefSeq and is a predicted model, not a curated record. Lineage: Eukaryota; Metazoa; Cnidaria; Anthozoa; Malacalcyonacea; Xeniidae.
UUGGUUCUAUUUCCACACGCAACAAACAUAGUGUGAACCAGUUAUAUUUCUCAAACAAUUUAUUAAUAAAGCGCCCAUGUACCUGCG